Osmerus eperlanus (European smelt) is the source of this 657-nucleotide long non-coding RNA. RefSeq lists it as uncharacterized. The record is from RefSeq and is a predicted model, not a curated record. NCBI's taxonomy places the organism in Eukaryota, Metazoa, Chordata, Actinopteri, Osmeriformes, Osmeridae. The transcript is spliced from 3 exons.
AUUGAUUAAACGGAUUCUGAGAACGGUUUAAAUGUUGACGCUGCGCUCGCUAGUCCAGGCUAGCUAGCUUGUAAUCAUUAGGCUAGAGCUAGCUGUACUACUGUAGUGCUUAAAAUAGUUUUAAUUAACCCACAGCUGACGAUACGUCAUCUUCUCCCAUACUGUGAUGGACUGGCAGCAGUAGCACAAAUCUGGCAUGAGUCUCUCCCUCGAACACAGGGCAGGGACAGGCUUACGUCAUGCCAUUUGCACGCACGAUGGCCGCCCAGCCAGACCCGAGGGGUUGGCCCAGGACACACUGAUGGUGCGCCCACCGGAUCGACGGAGCUCUGUGUCAUCAGUUCGCCGGAGGUGCAACAAUAAGGCUUAAUGCGUGAUUAAGUCCCAAAUCACCUCUCAUUAUGAAUCAUUACAGUCAUGUUCUGGAGCCAUGGUGCUGCUCUGAAGCACUGAAGAUCAUUCCUUAAUGUUUGACUAAGCCAGGCACCCAAACCACAGGCAGCAGCUGAAAUGUCAAAAUAGACAUCAUCAUGAAAGGGAAUGUUUAAUGUGUUACAGUUGUAUUUUUUGAAGAGUUAAUAAUUAGAAGCCACCCCUUCUUGUAGAUCAGACGAACAUGUUCAGAUUUGUCUGUUUCUGCAACCAGGAUAAUGGCGG